This 45-nucleotide non-coding RNA is filed under the name Schistosoma mansoni. Lineage: Eukaryota; Metazoa; Platyhelminthes; Trematoda; Strigeidida; Schistosomatidae. The record is from RNAcentral.
AUCCAUCUGACAAGUCCCAAAUAGGACGAAACAAGUGUCCUGGAU